Molecule: ribosomal RNA, 498 nt
Filed under: uncultured bacterium
Lineage: Bacteria
Description: partial 16S ribosomal RNA
Rfam family: Bacterial small subunit ribosomal RNA
Source: RNAcentral
GAUGAACGCUAGCGGCAGGCUUAAUACAUGCAAGUCGAACGGGAUUGAGAAGCUUGCUUUUCAUGAGAGUGGCGCACGGGUGCAUAACACGUAUGCAACCUGCCUUGUCCAGGGGGAUAGCCCGUUGAAAGACGGAUUAAGACCGCAUAACAUCAUUGAAUGGCAUCGUUUAAUGAUCAAAUAUUUAUAGGGACAAGAUGGGCAUGCGUCUGAUUAGCUAGUUGGCGGGGUAAUGGCCCACCAAGGCGACGAUCAGUAGGGGAUCUGAGAGGAUGACCCCCCACACUGGUACUGAGACACGGCCCAGACUCCUACGGGAGGCAGCAGUAAGGAAUAUUGGUCAAUGGGCGCAAGCCUGAACCAGCCAUGCCGCGUGCAGGAAGACGGCCCUACGGGUUGUAAACUGCUUUUAUACGGGAAUAACCCCGGUUUCGUGAAACCGGCUGAAUGUACCGUAAGAAUAAGGAUCGGCUAACUCCGUGCCAGCAGCCGCCGUAA